Molecule: ribosomal RNA, 257 nt
Filed under: uncultured bacterium
Lineage: Bacteria
Description: partial 16S ribosomal RNA
Rfam family: Bacterial small subunit ribosomal RNA
Source: RNAcentral
GUCCACACCGUAAACGUUGGGCGCUAGGUGUGGGAUCCAUUCCACGGGUUCCGUGCCGCAGCUAACGCAUUAAGCGCCCCGCCUGGGGAGUACGGCCGCAAGGCUAAAACUCAAAGGAAUUGACGGGGCCCGCACAAGCGGCGGAGCAUGCGGAUUAAUUCGAUGCAACGCGAAGAACCUUACCUGGGUUUGACAUACACCCUGCCGCCUCAGAGAUGGGGUUUCUUUGGGGUGUACAGGUGGUGCAUGGCUGUCGU